This 465-nucleotide ribosomal RNA is filed under the name uncultured bacterium. Its description in RNAcentral is "partial 16S ribosomal RNA". It matches the Rfam family "Bacterial small subunit ribosomal RNA", at positions 28 to 507 of the family's 1533-position model. The record is from RNAcentral.
GAUGAACGCUGGCGGCGUGCUUAACACAUGCGAGUCGAACGGAAAGGCUCCUGCUUGCAGGGGUACUCGAGUGGCGAACGGGUGAGUAACACGUGGGUGAUCUGCCCUGCACUUCGGGAUAAGCCUGGGAAACUGGGUCUAAUACCGGAUAGGACGAUGGUUUGGAUGCCAUUGUGGAAAGUUUUUCGGUGUGGGAUGAGCUCGCGGCCUAUCAGCUUGUUGGUGGGGUAAUGGCCUACCAAGGCGUCGACGGGUAGCCGGCCUGAGAGGGUGUACGGCCACAUUGGGACUGAGAUACGGCCCAGACUCCUACGGGAGGCAGCAGUGGGGAAUAUUGCACAAUGGGCGCAAGCCUGAUGCAGCGACGCCGCGUGGGGGGUGACGGCCUUCGGGUUGUAAACUCCUUUCGCUAGGGACGAAGCGCAAGUGACGGUACCUGGAGAAGAAGCACCGGCUAACUACGUG